UUCUCCUUGGGCAGAAGGGAGUUGGCCAAGAAAUAGCAAACGGUGCCUCGUUGUUGGUUCCUGCUGCCCAAAGGACUUCCACUGAAGCUCACCGCUGACGGGGAAAUCAAGACUGUCUGGCCCUCUGCACCUGGCUGCCUCGAGAAUCCCAGAGUCUGCUCAGGACAACACAGAGCCUUAAUAUUGGUAUGUUAUGAGAUGUUUAUUCCACUAGAGCCCA
This 220-nucleotide long non-coding RNA is filed under the name Cavia porcellus (domestic guinea pig). Its description in RNAcentral is "lncRNA (ENSCPOG00000035431.1)". Lineage: Eukaryota; Metazoa; Chordata; Mammalia; Rodentia; Caviidae. The record is from RNAcentral.